GCAAAAAGGUCGUUGUAAAAUUUUGGGCCUCGCUCCAUUAACUACCCAUCUCCCCUGGGGACUUUUUAUGUCCUUCCGCACGUUUUACAACACUUCAAAAGGUGAUGAAUGGAAACUUAUUACAACAAUAAAAAAUCUUUCCACCACGGUUUUGCCGGCCUCCCCA
RNAcentral lists this unclassified non-coding RNA (166 nucleotides) under uncultured fungus. RNAcentral describes it as "partial contains 18S rRNA, ITS1, 5.8S rRNA". The record is from RNAcentral. Lineage: Eukaryota; Fungi.